RNAcentral lists this ribosomal RNA (467 nucleotides) under uncultured bacterium. RNAcentral describes it as "partial 16S ribosomal RNA". It matches the Rfam family "Bacterial small subunit ribosomal RNA", at positions 28 to 507 of the family's 1533-position model. The record is from RNAcentral.
GACGAACGCUGGCGGCGUGCUUAACACAUGCAAGUCGAACGGAAAGGCCUAGCUUGCUGGGUACUCGAGUGGCGAACGGGUGAGUAACACGUGGGUGAUCUGCCCCUGACUUUGGGAUAAGCCUGGGAAACUGGGGCUAAUACCGGAUAUUCAUUUUUCCUCGCAUGGGGAUUUGUGGAAAGCUUUUGCGGUUGGGGAUGGGCCCGCGGCCUAUCAGCUUGUUGGUGGGGUAAUGGCCUACCAAGGCGACGACGGGUAGCCGACCUGAGAGGGUGAUCGGCCACACUGGGACUGAGACACGGCCCAGACUCCUACGGGAGGCAGCAGUGGGGAAUAUUGCACAAUGGGCGCAAGCCUGAUGCAGCGACGCCGCGUGAGGGAUGACGGCCUUCGGGUUGUAAACCUCUUUCAGCUCCGACGAAGCGCAAGUGACGGUAGGAGCAGAAGAAGCACCGGCCAACUACGUG